CAGCGAGGCUAAGCUAGUGGGGGAAAAGUUUCAGUGCAUUCCGUUGAUGUAGACGGCGUGAAAACGGAAACAACAAGAAUGCCGUCUCACUGUGCUGCAUACAGUUACACACUACGUCGUACGAUUGAGACAAGGAAACUUGGAAUGACUUUUCAUAGGUUUCCCAGAGACUAUGGGUUGAGGAGGAAUUGGAAGUUUGUCGGCUUAGACCUGGUGUCAUUCCAUCAGUGUUAAACUUCCCGGUUCAUCUUGGAAGAGUACGUGCCAGAAAGACCACGACCAAGCAGCCUUGAGAUCUUAGACAGCGUCUCCCUGAGACCAAAGAACUACAGACUCUUCACAACCUGCUCAAACUCUUGGUACAGGACCUCACCACACGGGUCAAGAAGGUUUCCUUCUCAUUUCUACUCUGAAGCUCACCUUCUCCUGCUCAAACUGCUGACAAAUGUUUCUGCUGCUCUAAAGUCUGCUCUCCAGAACUUCCUAAAAACUCUCAAAGUCUCUUCUGCUGCAGGUUGCUUUGUAGAACUGUUCCAGAAAACCUCACUAAACCACAUGGAGGAGCCUCAAGAUAGUCG
This is a long non-coding RNA of Amphiprion ocellaris (clown anemonefish), 578 nucleotides long. Lineage: Eukaryota; Metazoa; Chordata; Actinopteri; Pomacentridae. The record is from Ensembl.